AUUGAACGCUGGCGGCAUGCCUUACACAUGCCAGUCGAACGGCAGCACGGGUGCUUGCACCUGGUGGCGAGUGGCGAACGGGUGAGUAAUACAUCGGAACAUGUCCUGUAGUGGGGGAUAGCCCGGCGAAAGCCGGAUUAAUACCGCAUACGAUCUACGGAUGAAAGCGGGGGACCUUCGGGCCUCGCGCUAUAGGGUUGGCCGAUGGCUGAUUAGCUAGUUGGUGGGGUAAAGGCCUACCAAGGCGACGAUCAGUAGCUGGUCUGAGAGGACGACCAGCCACACUGGGACUGAGACACGGCCCAGACUCCUACGGGAGGCAGCAGUGGGGAAUUUUGGACAAUGGGCGAAAGCCUGACCCAGCAAUGCCGCGUGUGUGAAGAAGGCCUUCGGGUUGUAAAGCACUUUUGUCCGGAAAGAAAUCCUUGGCCCUAAUACGGUCGGGGGAUGACGGUACCGGAAGAAUAAGCACCGGCUAACUACGUG
RNAcentral lists this ribosomal RNA (486 nucleotides) under uncultured bacterium. RNAcentral's name for it is "partial 16S ribosomal RNA". It matches the Rfam family "Bacterial small subunit ribosomal RNA", at positions 30 to 507 of the family's 1533-position model. The record is from RNAcentral.